RNAcentral lists this ribosomal RNA (885 nucleotides) under Triticum aestivum (bread wheat). RNAcentral describes it as "partial small subunit ribosomal RNA". Lineage: Eukaryota; Viridiplantae; Streptophyta; Magnoliopsida; Poales; Poaceae. The record is from RNAcentral.
AUGCCAAAUCAAGGCAGGGGCAGCGCUCAUGUCAAGAAAGCAUGGAAUUUACUUAAAGACCGUCACAAGCAAGAUAUUAGGACGGCAGGAUUUGGCAGCAUAGAGAACUGCAAAAUAACGGGCUCCAUCCGCAGACCACUUGCAGCACACAUCUACGAGAACCUGGACACAGAAAGCAUGACAAUAACCUUCGGUGAUGGUACCGAAGACAAGAAACUCAAGAUUACCAAGGAAGCUAUACACAAGGUGUUUGGAUACCCAAACGGCACGGAAAACGCCGCUAUCUUCGCCCGACAAGCUAUAAUGGUAGAGGACAUGGACUAUCCGGAGAUGGCAAAGAUGGAUUUCUGCAAGGUAAUCAUCGAAUGUAUUAAGGAAGGAGCCAAGAUAUGGCAGAAACACAGAAAUUUGCCUCGGGAAGAAAAGAACAAAAAGUAUGCCAAUGGUUUGGCACAGGGGCCAGUAAUCAUGUACCUCGACUCCCUGCUGCUGCCAACCGACACAAAAGAAAUGCGGAAGAUUGCAAAGACAAUGGACAAGACCUCAUUACCACAAGCAAACCAUCUCAAAGAGAGUGACCUAGCGAAAAUAGCUAGAGCAGACAUGAAAAGGGACGAAAAAGCACGACCAGAUGACUAUGAAUUUGGCAAAAUACAGGAGAACAUCGCAAACAACAGCAACACCAGAACACGACCAAACUGCUACCACCUCCACCCAAACGCUGGCGCGAACCAUGACAUAGUUUGCACAAGGUACCUGACAGACAACGCGACCCUGCAGACACUAGAGCAAGCAGAUCCAGCAGCCUCAAGUAGACUAGCCGAUGCCAACCGCAUGAAUGAAAUCGUAGCCACAACAGAACCAAGAGAAAGGAGAAAAAAAUAA